Molecule: transfer RNA, 74 nt
Filed under: Parasteatoda tepidariorum (common house spider)
Lineage: Eukaryota; Metazoa; Arthropoda; Arachnida; Araneae; Theridiidae
Description: transfer RNA arginine (anticodon CCU)
Rfam family: tRNA
About the family: Transfer RNA (tRNA) molecules are approximately 80 nucleotides in length.
Source: RNAcentral
AGCGCGCGUGGCCUAAUGGAUAAGGCAUCGGUCUCCUAAACCGGGGAUUGCGGGUUCGAGUCCCGCCGUGGUCA